This 586-nucleotide long non-coding RNA is filed under the name Homo sapiens (human). RNAcentral describes it as "HSALNT0169857". The record is from RNAcentral. Lineage: Eukaryota; Metazoa; Chordata; Mammalia; Primates; Hominidae.
CGUUGUCAAACAUCUUCUCGCAGUUGGGGUCCAGGGUCCAGUAAUUGCCUUUACCUGCAGAAGAAGAAACAGCCCAGUUCAGAAGGUUCGAGCUUUGACGGGCCGUGGUGUGAGCCAGCGAGGAGGUCAGCUUCAGAAAGAUCCCCUGCUGGCCCUUACAGAGGGUCUGAGUCCUCGCCCCCAUUCCACCCUUGACGGGCACUCUGUACCCGAUGGGCCUCCACAGCAGGACUGGGAAGAAAGUGACAAUCCAGAAAGGAGGAGGAAGGGAGCCCUGGGAAAGGCCGAGCCCCGUUAAGGUGAAGGAAGGCCUGCGAGAUGCUAAUGGUGGGACUCCGCCAGCCGCUCUGCCAAGGACAGCGCAGACCACGCCAGGCCCCCAGGAUCAUCUGAAAGCCUAUGGGAAACUCUUACCAGUCCACACGUUUGCUUUGCACCUUAUUUGAACAUUAACUGCUGCAGAAUUCCAGUGGUGCCAGGCAUUUCGAAUAUCCUAAACUGGACACUUGCCCUGAAAUAAUGUAAUUGUGCUGCAUAAAUACUUUUAUGCCUGUGAACUCAACUGAGUUAAAUAUUAACUGUAAAG